This 253-nucleotide ribosomal RNA is filed under the name uncultured bacterium. RNAcentral describes it as "partial 16S ribosomal RNA". It matches the Rfam family "Bacterial small subunit ribosomal RNA", at positions 524 to 776 of the family's 1533-position model. The record is from RNAcentral.
UACAGAGGGUGCAAGCGUUGUUCGGAAUCACUGGGCGUAAAGAGUUCGUAGGCGGACUUCUUAGUACGAGGUUAAAGACCGGAGCCUAACUUCGGGAAUGCUUCGUAAACGGGGAGUCUAGAGUAUCAGAGGGGAUAGCGGAAUUCCUGGUGUAGAGGUGAAAUUCGUAGAGAUCAGGAGGAACACCUGUGGCGAAGGCGGCUAUCUGGCUGAGCACUGACGCUAAAGAACGAAAGCAUGGGGAUCAAACAGG